Molecule: ribosomal RNA, 337 nt
Filed under: uncultured Pseudomonas sp.
Lineage: Bacteria; Pseudomonadati; Pseudomonadota; Gammaproteobacteria; Pseudomonadales; Pseudomonadaceae
Description: bacterial SSU rRNA
Rfam family: Bacterial small subunit ribosomal RNA
Source: RNAcentral
UGCGUGUCGUCAGCUCGUGUCGUGAGAUGUUGGGUUAAGUCCCGUAACGAGCGCAACCCUUGUCCUUAGUUACCAGCACGUUAUGGUGGGCACUCUAAGGAGACUGCCGGUGACAAACCGGAGGAAGGUGGGGAUGACGUCAAGUCAUCAUGGCCCUUACGGCCUGGGCUACACACGUGCUACAAUGGUCGGUACAAAGGGUUGCCAAGCCGCGAGGUGGAGCUAAUCCCAUAAAACCGAUCGUAGUCCGGAUCGCAGUCUGCAACUCGACUGCGUGAAGUCGGAAUCGCUAGUAAUCGUGAAUCAGAAUGUCACGGUGAAUACGUUCCCGGGCCUU